UGAUGAAUUCAAACAUAGAGAAGCCUUAGUUAGGCUUCAUCUUAGCUUAGGAGAAGAAAGCUAUUCUUCACCC
This 73-nucleotide transfer RNA is filed under the name Purpureocillium takamizusanense. RNAcentral's name for it is "tRNA-Thr". The record is from RNAcentral. Lineage: Eukaryota; Fungi; Ascomycota; Sordariomycetes; Hypocreales; Ophiocordycipitaceae.